CUCUGGGGUCGCAAAGAGCCCAGGGCGGAAAGAG
Paenibacillus terrigena DSM 21567 is the source of this 34-nucleotide non-coding RNA. The record is from Rfam. Lineage: Bacteria; Bacillati; Bacillota; Bacilli; Caryophanales; Paenibacillaceae.